AGCAGCCGCGGUAAUUCCAGCUCCAAUAGCGUAUAUUAAAGUUGUUGCAGCUAAAAAGCUCGUAGUUGAAUUUCGGGGUCAGUAGGUCGGUCGUGCCACUGGUAUGAACUGGUUUCACUGAUUCUUCCCUCUUGUAGAACCGUGAUGCCAUUAAUUUGGUGUUGCGGGGAAACAGGACUGUUACUUUGAAAAAUUAGAGUGUUUAAAGCAAGCUAACGCUUGAAUACAUUAGCAUGGAAUAAUGAAAUAGGACGUCUGUCUUAUUUUGUUGGUUUCUAGGAUGGACGUAAUGAUUAAUAGGGAUAGUUGGGGCAUUAGUAUUCAAUUGUCAGAGGUGAAAUUCUUGGAUUUAUUGAAGACUAACUACUGCGAAAGCAUUUGCCAAGGAUGUUUUCAUUAAUCAAGAACGAAAGUUAGGGGAUCGAAGACGAUCAGAUACCGUCGUAGUCUUAACCAUAAACUAUGACCGACUAGGGAUCGGAUGAUGUUAAUUUUUAAUG
Molecule: ribosomal RNA, 500 nt
Filed under: uncultured Glomus
Lineage: Eukaryota; Fungi; Glomeromycota; Glomeromycetes; Glomerales; Glomeraceae
Description: SSU rRNA
Rfam family: Eukaryotic small subunit ribosomal RNA
Source: RNAcentral